This is an RNA transcript of Hemicordylus capensis (graceful crag lizard), 5006 nucleotides long. It is a transcript of the gene named pleckstrin homology like domain family A member 1, with no coding region annotated. The record is from RefSeq and is a predicted model, not a curated record. Lineage: Eukaryota; Metazoa; Chordata; Lepidosauria; Squamata; Cordylidae. The transcript is spliced from 2 exons.
GCAGGCGCCGCCCGCCUCCCCCCCCCCUCGCCGCCCGCCCUGGUGUCAUUCCGUGGUGGAAAGCCGCGUUCAAAAGCGGCGCGAGGCUGGCAAUUCGCUUAGUGGUGCUGAGGAAAGAAGCCUGGGCGAACGCCGCGCGCCAAGUCGCUGAAGGAAGCGGAGGAGGAGGAGGAGAAGCCUCCAAGCAGCGCCUGGGUGUCCCGCCCGCCGGGCUGAAGCUUCCAGUGCUUGCUGCGCGCUCCUUUCCCUUCUCUGUCUUGCGGGAACUUUAUUGGCGGCGGCGGCGGGAGGAGGAUGCUGGAGGACGGCUUCAAGCCGGUGAAGGAGGGCAUGCUGGAGAAGCGCAGCGACGGCUUGCUGCAGCUCUGGAAGAAGAAGCGCUGUAUUCUCACCGAGGAAGGGCUGCUGCUUAUCCCGCCCAAGCAGCCGCAGCAGUCUCCGCCGCUGGAGCUGGCGGCGGCAGCGGCGGCGGCUCCCCCUGGCACGGAGACGACGGUGGUGGCCGCCAAGAUCAAGGAGCUGCCCUUCUCCACCAUGAAGACGGUGGAUUGUGUGGAAAGGAAGGGCAAGUACGUGUAUUUCACGGUGGUGAUGGCCGAGGGCAAGGAGAUCGACUUUCGGUGUCCGCAGGAGCAGGGCUGGAACGCCGAGAUCACUCUGCAGCUGGUGCAGUACAAGAACCGCCAGGCCAUCCUGGCCGUCAAGUCCACUCGGCAGAAGCAGCAGCACCUCGUCCAGCAACACGGUCCCCGCCUCCGAAGCGCCUCCAACUCCGCCUAGCCGGGCCCCGCGUCCAGGUACAGACAUCGCCCGCUCGCGAUCUUGUGCCCAAGCCAGGGACCAGGCGCGACAAGGAAGGCACCCGCUGAGCAGUGGCUGGGUUGGGAGUAGGAUGAAUUGACGAAGCACUUCUGGAAGCAAGGCGGACCCUGUAUCUGUUGAUCACAAACUUUGCAGACAAAUGGAGCACAGGUACAUCAUGGAGAACAUCAGUUCAGCCACUGGAGCUUUUCCAUUUUUGAUACAAUCCAUUGUUGCUUUGAGAAAGCAUUUUAACUCCUGUAGGUUUUGACUACUACUUAUGGAUCUUUGGAAGGACUAUUUGACCUGCUGGGCCUCAAAGGACACACAUUGUACUGCCAUUUUUUAAUGUAUUUUAUUUUUUAUGUUUUAUUUAUUGGGUUUUUAAAAAAGGUUUGUUUGCAAAAUAUUUCUGAAUGUUGGCCAUCUAGAAGGAAUCAAAUACAGAGCAUACUUAUUAUUGGGUGUAUAUAUUGCUGCCCUUGGAGAGAGGAGAAACUGAAGAAAGAAGAUGAUGGAGAAAUGAAGAGACUCAUCAGCAAAUACACUUUGCCACUAGUUGUUCACAUCGGUUUUAAUCUGUGGUGCUGCUAAGUUGCUGAGGGUCCUGGGGGAAAGCUCUACAGUGGGCCCCAUGAUAAUCUGCCCCAUCUUCCCUGUGGUGCCCUUGCUCCGCCCACCCUCCUCUGCCCCAGUUUACCUAAAAGGGGAAGGAGGGAGGGAAUGCGGUCAUGGGGAAGUGGCAUUGGUGAGCUGGCUGGUGGCUGUUCCCUUCUUCGGCAAAUGGUGAGGUUGCAGCUGCUCUUCCUCCUCAUCCUUUUAGGGUGGGAGAUGGAGGAGUAAUUGCUACUAUUCCUCCCCUACAUUUGCCAUGCAUCAGUGAGAGGGAGAAGCUACUGCAGAGUCUAUUGGUAGCAGUCCCCCCCCAUUAUCACACUAUUGUAGGGGACAAUUAUACAUUCAUCGGAGUGUAAUAAUAAUUAUCACAUUAUUAUACAUUCAUCUGAGGAGUAUUUCGACAGAAAAUACAGUUAAGUAUGCCACUUUUAAAUGUUCUCUUUCAUGAACAGACUAAAGAACUUUGGCUUUAUUGACUAUCAAGAAGAAUAGAUUUAAACCUAAAUUCAUUGUAUCUUCUUGUUCAUAUGGUAUUCAUAUAGCAGAACCAUACUGAGAACUAUUUGCAGUUCUUUGUCUUGUGGGAUCCUCCUGUCCAUAAUGUUUCUGAGUUGUUUUACUUUACUCUCCUCACAUCAUUUUUGAAACCUCUUCACAUUUCACACUAACAUGGUCCCAUCUGGAAAAUUUCUUAAAUUGCUUAACUGAGGAAUUUUCCCAUUAUUCUUGUAAUUGAGUUUCUGGGCUGAGCCCUAUUACAAUUUUUUUUUUCAUAGCCUGCUGCUAUAUGUACAAUUCUUUCUUAGAGAAACAAAAAUUUUAAAAAGCACAAAGUAUUAUCAAGCCUGUAUGAACAGAAGUUACUUCAGUUAUGGAACACUCAUUUUUUAGCUUGGUAAGCAAGCUGCUUUUCAUAUUUAUGUUGAUAUUUAUAGUCUUAAAAUAGUUCAAAUAGGACUUCAGUAACAGCAUUGUCAUCUAAAAAUAAUGUUAAUCAGUUCACUCUGCUGCAAGGAUCUUAAUGUUCAUUGAAUAAGAAAAAUGUGGAAAUUUGCAAACAUGUUUAUAAUCUUCAACCCAACUAUUCUCUUUUGAAGGCUAGCUUGUGGUUUGGCUUUUUUCUUCUUCUAAAGCAGUCUAAUUCUGCAAGAAGCAGAGUUCAUUCUGCCCCUUCUAACCUCAGAUUAGUUACAGCAUGGUGCACCUUGAAAUAUUAACUCUUUGAAAGCAGCCCUUUAUAUCCUAAUCUUGGCUAGUUAUGAUCUUCUCUGUAAGAUUUGAGCCAGCUUGAUGUAGUGGUUAGAGUGCUGGACUAGGACCGGGGAGACCUGAGUUCAAAUCCCCAUUCAGCCAUGAAACUAGCUGGGUGACUCUGGGCCAGUCACUUCUCUCUCAGCCUAACCUACUUCACAGGGUUGUUGUGAAAGAGAAACUCAAGUAUGUAGUACACCGCUCUGGGCUCCUUGGAGGAAGAGCGGGAUAUAAAUGUAAAAAUAAUAAUAAUAAUAAUAAUAAUAAUAAUGAUUUCAGCUGUAACUCUCAGUGAUCUCAAGUAUGGGCUAGAUGGAGGAUGAGAAAUUCCUGGCUUCCUUAAUCAACAUUAUCCAAAUUGUGAUGAAAUCUUUGUAAGAGAAAUCACCUGGCACCAGUGGAAUUUGGAAGCAGGGCUUACAUGAGUCUUACCAUUUUCCUUUGCCCACCUGAAUCAGUAACAGUGGGUCUCGCCCCCACACAAAAAUAUUGUGGAAAUAGAAUUUGGACCAAAGUAUUACAUUCUCAUGCAACUCUUCCAUGUACUGAAAACAUUUUAAAAAGCAACAAUCCAAUUAUAUUACUGGCUGUCUAUUUUUCACAAGGCAGAGGAAAACUGAUGCCAGGCCAGCUCAGAUUUUGUGGUAAUUCCAGUUCAUAAUAUCCACUGAAGUAUUGGCAACCUACCAUGUGUACCUGGCUAUACAAAAGGAAAAGCCCACAGAUAAAAAGCUGACACCCUGCAGUCACUAUGGACAGUGUGAGAGAAUCAUGCUUUUUCUCUGACCACCAGAAAUAAAAAUUCUUGUGUCUUCAGUUGGGUAGUUACAUAGAGGGCAAACUGUACUGCCAUCCUGAAUUCUGUUUUUGUGCUUGUAAUAUUUGACUUGUAUGAAGCCAAGCAGGCUGUAGCUACUUUCCCCCUUCACAUAGUCUUUGGGUUUGCUUCAUUUUGUAUUGCCUAUAGCAGUGGUUCCCAACCUGGGGCCUCCAGAUGCUGCUGAACUACAACUCUCAUCAGCUCCUGCCACAAUGUAUUGUGGCUGGGGAUGAUGGGAGUUGUAGUUCAGCAACAUCUGGAGGCCCCCAGGUUGGGAACCACUGACCUAUAGGAUUUAAAAUCAGUGGCUGGGCCAACAUGAACAGCCUUCCAGUGAUGAUGUGCUCCAUGCCACAGCUGCUAAGGACUCGUAAGGCAGCCCUGAUUCUAUUGAGAAUGAGCAGUUGUGGAAGCAUCCCCCCUGCAGUUGUUCCCAAUUAGGUGAAUGGGAAUACCUGCAUUAACACUACUUGUGCACCUGCUCAUUCACAACAGAGUUGAGACUGCCUUAUGAGUCCACAACUGCCCCGGCAUGGAUCACACAAUCACUGGAAUACUGCAUGUCAUGUCCACCAUCCUAACUGGAGUCAUUUAGACACUGCUGCAUUUCUGAUGCUAAAUAAAAUGUUCUGAGUGCAUAGUAGACAUUAAAAGAGAGGUUGAACCUAAAUAGUGCAGGACAUUUGAGCAACAGAUUUAGGCUCAAAUCCUAAAUGGCACUUAUCAAGUCAACUUGGUAGAUUUAUUUCCAAAUACACUUGCUUAGGAUUGGGAUGGAAGUCCAACUAUUUCAGAGCUUCACUGUAAGGGAACAUGGACAUAGAUAAUGUGGGGCAGAUAGAGCAGUGUUGGAAAACAAGUAAGGAUUACAAUUGAUGAGAAAGGGGCUCCCUAAUUAAUUGUGCCCAUUACAAAAAUAUGUAAGGAAGGGUCAAAUUUCAUCAAGAACAUCCAGGCUAUAAUGACAGUAAUUAUAGAGGCUGUAGGUUUUGCCUGUUUUAGGCUUCCCCCCCCCAUGUGGUGCUCACCAUUCUGAAAAGAGGUGCACAAACAAAUCAGGAUGUAUUGGCUGUUCUUACUAACAUGCUUCCAAUGCACCAAUGAAAAGCAGCUUUACAAAAGUUGAUGAAAAAAAUUUGAUAUCCUGCUUAUACGUUUGGUCCUCUGCAUUUUAUGGAUCACCUCAGUAGGAAGUAGGAAGAGUGGCAGUAGGAAGAGUGGAAAUAAGCCACUAGUAUAUUUGAGAAGCUGUCUUUGGUAUUCAGAAGAAAGGAAUUCAACCCAAUCUUUUAUCUGUCACAUUCUGGAAGUGCCCCCUCUUUAAAGAUCAUGGUAUGGAAAUACUUGCUUCUGCAAAUUAGCUGCAGUGAUCUAACAAACGCUUUUGCAUAUCCUAUUGUGAGCUGAAACAAGUGUUAUCAGUCAAAUGUGUGUAAAUAUGAUUCAAAUUAUUUCUGAGAGAUGUGAUUUAUUUUUCAAUAUGCAUUCCAUUUCAAAUAAAGUAUCUAUUGAAGUA